Molecule: non-coding RNA, 70 nt
Organism: Ameiurus melas (black bullhead)
Lineage: Eukaryota; Metazoa; Chordata; Actinopteri; Siluriformes; Ictaluridae
Source: the annotation of a GenBank genome assembly
GCCUGGCUAGCUCAGUUCGUAGAGCACGGGAUUCUUGAUCUCAGCGUGGGUUUGAGCCCCAUGCUGGGUC